UGGGCUUGCACUAGGAGCUCUGCAACGUAGAAUAUCAGUCAAGAAUCAUCUAAAAGUGCCUACUGAGGCAUAAAUUUCUGUCUUCUUACUGGAAUCUGUCUGGGCUUCAUUCUCAUACGUGGCCGUUUUCGUUGGACGACAGAGGGGCAGCAUCUGGAAAGUGUAGAUACGAUUCCACCUACGUAUGAUGAUGAUGAUGAUGCUACACAAUCUCAAUACUGCUUCAACAAGUUCAAGACUCAGGUGUGUCGGACUUGUGAGGCGUCCUUGAUGUUGUCUUCCCUUUGGAACUGAAGAUGUGUGCAGCCGAGGAUUCGUCAGAUAUUUCUGCAGGCCUGUCACUGUUUGACCUUCCUGUCGAGAGAGGCUGACCUUGGUGUGGAGAUAGAUGGAGUGAUCGCCGUGCUGUAGAGAAAGGACGACCACCCUGAGGAGAGUGGCUCCCCAGUAUACAGUGCUGCAGAGAGAGGCUGACUACCAUUCUAUGCAUGCUGCAGAGAGAAGCUGACUACCAUUCUAUGCAGUAGAGAGAGGCUGACUACCAUUCUAUGCUGUAGAGAGGCUGACUACCAUUCUAUGCUGCAGAGAGAGGCUGACUACCUUUCUAUGCAUGCUGUAGAGAGGCUGACUACCAUUCUAUGCAUGCUGUAGAGAGGCUGACUACCAUUCUAUGCUGCAGAGAGGCUGUCUACCAUUCUAUGCUGCAGAGAGGCUGACUACCAUUCUAUGCGGUAGAGAGGCUGCCCGGUAUUCUGUGCUGUAGGGAGAGAGACCUGCUUUCUAGGUUAUAGAGAGAGACAAACUUUUGUGUUGGAGAGAGAUACCAUCUUUCUAUGUCAUAGAAAGGGAGACACAGACUGACAGAUCAGCGCAUGUGUUGAAAAAAAAAAUUUUAUUGGGGAGGUUUUUCUCAACACAUACGUUUAUUUUCUUAAUUAUAUGACAAAUUUAAUGUCUCCGUGGUUCAAUUUCAGUUGUUCAAAAUAUUUUUGAAAGUUGGUACCAAAAUGAUAAAGUUAUUGCUCUUGACA
Aplysia californica (California sea hare) is the source of this 1031-nucleotide long non-coding RNA. RefSeq lists it as uncharacterized. The record is from RefSeq and is a predicted model, not a curated record. The transcript has 2 exons. NCBI's taxonomy places the organism in Eukaryota, Metazoa, Mollusca, Gastropoda, Aplysiida, Aplysiidae.